Molecule: ribosomal RNA, 497 nt
Filed under: uncultured bacterium
Lineage: Bacteria
Description: partial 16S ribosomal RNA
Rfam family: Bacterial small subunit ribosomal RNA
Source: RNAcentral
GAUGAACGCUGGCGGCGUGCCUAAUACAUGCCAGUCGAGCGAACAGACGAGGAGCUUGCUCCUCUGACGUUAGCGGCGGACGGGUGAGUAACGCGUGGAUAACCUACCUAUAAGACUGGGAUAACUUCGGGAAACCGGAGCUAAUACCGGAUAAUAUAUUGAACCGCAUGGUUCAAUAGUGAAAGACGGUUUUGCUGUCACUUAUAGAUGGAUCCGCGCCGCAUUAGCUAGUUGGUAAGGUAACGGCUUACCAAGGCAACGAUGCGUAGCCGACCUGAGAGGGUGAUCGGCCACACUGGAACUGAGACACGGUCCAGACUCCUACGGGAGGCAGCAGUAGGGAAUCUUCCGCAAUGGGCGAAAGCCUGACGGAGCAACGCCGCGUGAGUGAUGAAGGUCUUCGGAUCGUAAAACUCUGUUAUUAGGGAAGAACAAAUGUGUAAGUAACUAUGCACGUCUUGACGGUACCUAAUCAGAAAGCCACGGCUAACUACGUG